RNAcentral lists this long non-coding RNA (218 nucleotides) under Elaeis guineensis (African oil palm). RNAcentral's name for it is "long non-coding RNA (EGUI_LNC040209)". The record is from RNAcentral. Lineage: Eukaryota; Viridiplantae; Streptophyta; Magnoliopsida; Arecales; Arecaceae.
AAUCCGAUCCAAACUAUUUUAAUAUUUUAAAUUACAUAUAUAUUAUAUUAAAUAUAUUUUAUUAAUUAUUAUUUAUUAAUUAUUAAAUUUUAAUUUAUUCAUAAAAAAUAUUUUAAUCAAGUAAAAAUUAAAAAAUAUUCAUACAAUCAUAAAAUAUACCAAUAUGAUUAUUAUUUUUAGUAUAUUUUAAACUUGAAUUUGAAUUUCAAACAUCGGCU